Molecule: transfer RNA, 67 nt
Filed under: Chrysichthys sp. NM-2010
Lineage: Eukaryota; Metazoa; Chordata; Actinopteri; Siluriformes; Claroteidae
Description: tRNA-Cys
Source: RNAcentral
AGCCCCGUGGUGCACAAGCAUGUUGGAUUGCAAACCCAAAGGAGCGGCUUGACGGCCGCCGGGGCUU